Molecule: ribosomal RNA, 507 nt
Filed under: uncultured bacterium
Lineage: Bacteria
Description: bacterial SSU rRNA
Rfam family: Bacterial small subunit ribosomal RNA
Source: RNAcentral
UAGAGUUUGAUCAUGGCUCAGAUUGACCGCUUGGCGGUAUGCUUAACACAUGCAAGUCGAACGGUAGCAGGCCUUCGGGCGCUGACGAGUGGCGGACGGGUGAGUAACGCGUAGGAAUCUGCCUCAUAGUGGGGGACAACGUGGGGAAACUCACGCUAAUACCGCAUACGCCCUACGGGGGAAAGCGGGGGAUCUUCGGACCUCGCGCUAUGAGAUGAGCCUGCGUUAGAUUAGCUAGUUGGUAGGGUAAAGGCCUACCAAGGCGACGAUCUAUAGCUGGUCUGAGAGGACGAUCAGCCACACUGGGACUGAGACACGGCCCAGACUCCUACGGGAGGCAGCAGUGGGGAAUAUUGGACAAUGGGCGCAAGCCUGAUCCAGCAAUACCGCGUGUGUGAAGAAGGCCUUAGGGUUGUAAAGCACUUUCAAUUGGGAGGAAAACCUGUCGGUCAAUACCCGGCAGCUUGACAUUACCUUUAGAAGAAGCACCGGCUAACUCCGUGCCAG